UAAAAUAACCGAUCUUAAAAGUGCUUUUAAGAUCGGUUACAAAAGAACCGAUCUUAAAAGUGACACUUUUAAGAUCGGUUAUUUUA
Molecule: microRNA precursor, 86 nt
Filed under: Cajanus cajan (pigeon pea)
Lineage: Eukaryota; Viridiplantae; Streptophyta; Magnoliopsida; Fabales; Fabaceae
Description: miRNA gene-KK1_048147
Source: RNAcentral